This 468-nucleotide ribosomal RNA is filed under the name uncultured bacterium. RNAcentral describes it as "partial 16S ribosomal RNA". It matches the Rfam family "Bacterial small subunit ribosomal RNA", at positions 28 to 507 of the family's 1533-position model. The record is from RNAcentral.
GACGAACGCUGGCGGCGUGCUUAACACAUGCAAGUCGAACGGAAAGGCCCUGCUUUUGUGGGGUGCUCGAGUGGCGAACGGGUGAGUAACACGUGAGUAACCUGCCCUUUACUUUGGGAUAACUUCAGGAAACUGGGGCUAAUACCUGAUAGGAGCUCCUGCUGCAUGGUGGGGGUUGGAAAGUUUCGGCGGUUGGGGAUGGACUCGCGGCUUAUCAGCUUGUUGGUGGGGUAGUGGCUUACCAAGGCUUUGACGGGUAGCCGGCCUGAGAGGGUGACCGGCGACAUGGGGACUGAGAUACGGACCAGACGCCUACGGGAGGCAGCAGUGGGGAAUAUUGCACAAUGGGCGGAAGCCUGAUGCAGCAACGCCGCGAGCGGGAUGAAGGCCUUCGGGUUGUAAACCGCUUUCGCCUGUGACGAAGCGUGAGUGACGGUAAUGGGUAAAGAAGCACCGGCUAACUACGUG